Molecule: ribosomal RNA, 323 nt
Filed under: uncultured bacterium
Lineage: Bacteria
Description: bacterial SSU rRNA
Rfam family: Bacterial small subunit ribosomal RNA
Source: RNAcentral
GAUGAACGCUGGCGGCGUGCUUAACACAUGCAAGUCGAACGGGACUUGUUAAGUUGAAACUUCGGUCGAUUCUUUUCAAGUCUAGUGGCGGACGGGUGAGUAACGCGUGGGUAACCUGCCUCACACUGGGGGAUAACAGUCAGAAAUGACUGCUAAUACCGCAUAAGCGCACAGCAUCGCAUGAUGCAGUGUGAAAAGCUCCGGUGGUGUGAGAUGGCCUCGCGUCCGAUUAGCUGGUUGGUGAGGUAAUGGCCCACCAAGGCGACGAUCGGUAGCCGGACUGAGAGGUUGAACGGCCACAUUGGGACUGAGACACGGCCCAG